CUAGUGUCCUCGCGAAGGGUGCGGAGCACCCUAACUUGCACUCGCACUCGCACACGCGCGCGCGUGGCGUGGGCCAUGAGGUGCAAUGUGGCGUUUUGAUGGCGCACUUUGCACUUCGCAUCGCCGCGGGCCGCCGCCUUUGUAUUUUUGACUGCGCGCGCGUGGUGGAGCACAAGGGUUGCAAGGACCAAGUGGUAGGUGAUGCGGCGCAUGCGCGCGCGAGUAUACAUGGCGCGCGGUUGCGCGCAUGGUGCAUGGGUCCUGCUGUGCCGUGCGCGGCGCACCAGAGUGAGCCAAUACGGCACGACUGUGUGGCGCGCUCGUAUAGGCUCACAGGUGACGUGGCGCACGCGCGCAUGGACUUGGGCCAAGAGGACCCACCGCGCAUGGUGGCAUGGCGUAUGCGCGCAUGGACUUGAGCCAAGAGGACGCACCGCGCAUGGUGGCAUGGCGCAUGCGCGCAUGGCCAGUGAGCCAAGAGGACGCACCGCGCAUGGACGUGCAGACCUGGGCGCGCGCGCACCAGAGUGACGCGCACAGAAGCUUCCAGC
This 551-nucleotide long non-coding RNA is filed under the name Helianthus annuus (common sunflower). Its description in RNAcentral is "hypothetical non coding rna". Lineage: Eukaryota; Viridiplantae; Streptophyta; Magnoliopsida; Asterales; Asteraceae. The record is from RNAcentral.